Molecule: long non-coding RNA, 8325 nt
Organism: Halichondria panicea
Lineage: Eukaryota; Metazoa; Porifera; Demospongiae; Suberitida; Halichondriidae
Exons: 10
Source: RefSeq, a predicted model, not a curated record
AUUAGCACGUAUCUAAACCUUGAUGCGUCUAGUUCUAGGCCGUCACAGCCUGUGAGAAGUCUUAUUCUGAAGUUAGAGGGGCCGUGGAGUGAUCUAUCUUUCAGUGAGCAUGACCAUAACUGGGAGGGCUUCCCAAGAUGAGCAGGCAGAGAUGAUAUCUGGAGGUGAGAGCAGGAGUCCACCAGAUUGACAUAUUAUUGCCCAAUGAGCAAGAACUUAUUCGCUGCUGCUUUUAAACGAGUCUUUAUUUUUCCAUACGAAACCAUGGCAGAAAUUGGCGGGAAAGAAUGGGUUGAGGCUAUAUAGGGCGGACCUAUAGUCUUGAGUAGGCCAGAGACAGUGUCCAGGAGCAGCCAUUCCAUUAGUAUUCUCUUAGGAAGAUCAUUUGUUGACAUGCGUGCAAUAAAGUUUAUAAAGCAAAGCUGCCUGCAGUCUACUAGAGAGGAGAUCCCCAAAGAGCCAAUAAGGCUUGUGAGUGCUAGCGAGGGGCAUCUCAAUCCAACAUUGUUAGGUCCAUUUUUGUGAGGGACCAAAGCUCUGACCCGUAGAGCGUAACUGGGAGGCAGAGAGAUGGUUGUAAGAUGUAAGGCGGCCAAACCUUGCACCAACCGAAUUCAAGGCAAAGAAGGCACAAUUUGAGAUUCUUAUUGAGCCAGAGGUUGAAACUAGGCACAAGAUUUCCAAGUAGGAGUAGCUGUCCGCCUCAUGUAUUGUCUCAAAGCAUACCAAAAAAGAGCGAGAUAGGCAACCAGAGGAGCGAGAUUAAUACAAUAUACCACGUGAAAGAGCAGCUCAAUGCGCAUGUGCUCAAUGCGCAUGUGCUGGUACCUACAGCGUGCACAUAGCUCUAACACAUGUGCACAACAAUUUUUUCACUACCGCUCAGAGGAGGUACGACAAAGUCAAAAGGUCAUGGCUAGCUUGCAUGAUUUGUACUUUGAACCGUGCACCAAAUAAAAUACUACAGGUCUAAUGAAAGCACCGCGGGUGCUGAUGCCUCGGUGGAGGUGCCAAAGCUACAUAACAUAAAACUACUAAUAGCUAGCUUUUAUACACACAUUGAUUAUAAUUAUCAUGAUGAAUUUUGCCAUGCAAUCAACCGAAUAGUGGGUAAUGAUCAACCAUGAUUGUUGUUAAAAACGAUCGAUGCCAAAAGUUCAAGUCUAAAAUUAAUGGCUGCAAGUCAGCAGAGAGCCUUGCAGCUCUCUGCUCACUCUUGCAGCUACCAAUAGCUAGCGUUCUAGUGCAGAGCUAACUACUAAGUAGAGUAGUAACACUCGGUGAACAAGUUUUGCUACGGACUCUUCUGAAAAGGCUGCAAUAGCAUUCCAAAACUAGGCAUAACUCAAGAACAAAGCAUUAUUUUGCAAAUCCACAAAUUAAAACCCAAUUAAACAUGACUAGAAGCCUAUAGAAACUCUUAAUUCAUCCUUGAGCAGCUGUAGCGGUCUACACACACACACACACAGACACACAGACACACAGACACACAAACACACUACCGUAUACCUCGCUUGUGCAUGCGCAUCGAGGCAUAAUAAUGAACAUAUUUAUUUGCAUCAAGAUGGAUCCACAUCAGUAGAGCUGUUGAACUGCUUGUUGAAUGAGGACAUGACACCAGAAGUGCAUCCUCCAACAGCUAAUAAAGUUGUAUCAUCGAGGUCCAAAAAUUUGUGAGACAGAUUCCCCUAUAAAUGUAUGAAUGAAUCAGGUGGCUGAUGCCUCGUUGUUAUAUAAAUAGAAAUUCUUGUAACAAGGAGGAAGGCAAUACAACAGACUUGAUGCACGCACCACUGUAGUGACAAUGAAGAUUAUGUAUGGCAGUUCUGAAGAUACAGAUUUACAAGGGCUAUACAGAGACUGGACCAUUGAUCCGCCUUGUGAAACAUUAACAGAGCAUAAUACUGUAUUGUGUGCACUAAACUUUAUAUAGGCCUAUAUACAAUCAUGUGAUCAAGAAAGACAAUGUUAAUUAAUCUGCUCCAUUUUAUGAAUGUUCAAUUGUGCUUGGGCUUUAAUGGAGUCUUACCAGUAGGCUCCUUUUUGGAGGUAGAGGCCUUUAACUCUAUCAUCCACAAUUCUAUGAGCGGCCCUUAUUUAAGUUAGUGAGGCUUGUAGUUUAGGCGGUUCUCUGAGGUCAAAAGGGUCAAAAGUUCACUUGCUAUUUUUUCUUCGAAAUACAGCUGUACCUUGAGGGUACAGUUAGUUUUCAAGUUCUAUUUUCCAGUAUCUAUGCAAAGAGUAAUCUUAUAUUAAGCAGGGUACAGUGGCAAACAGGAAAUCCUACACAAAACAUAAGCUCACGUGAUAAAUUCAUUAGUGACCUUUUGACCUUGCCAUACCUCCUCUGACUACCGCUGCCGUCAUAUGACAGCUAAAGCCGGGAAAGGGUUAAAUGGUGUCAUAAGCCAAGCAAAUGGACUGAGCGAGGAUUGCACCAUGUGUACCCCUAGUUAUAAAUUAUAACUAUAUAAAUUAUAUAAAUUAUAACUAUAUAAAUUAAAUAAAUAUAAAUUAUAACACUAAUGAUUACUUUUCAAAAUGUUGUGUACCUCAUUUGCUGCACGUCACACACUGUAUUUACCUAUAGCAUAACGUGAGGCGUUGCCUAUCACCUUUCUACGAGAGUUCAAGUAGCACUUCAGUUCUCUACAUAAUUAUACACAUACUACUUCGUAGUAUUAUCUGGCCACAAGGUUAUAUAUACAGUGAUGAUUACUUUCCAUGCAUUGACAAGAAUGUUAUGUACCUCAUUUGCUGCACGUCUGAUUCAGUAAAUGCUCCACCCUUGGUAUUGUAUAUCAAACACGAGCUCAGUAGAGUGACAAGAAUGAGGAUACCUGUCACUUCCUCUUUGGAGGAGCUCUCGCUUGCCUGAGCAGCACCUAUACCCUCUGUAUCGAGUAGUAUUAGGGUGUGGUCAUCAAAUUCUAAUACAUUAGUGGACAUCCAGAUUCCUUUGGUGCAUGGAUCCCUGGAGUGGCUAACUGUGAAAUCAUCUCCACCUAACACUUGUGACAAGAAGUAUGACUUUCCAGUUCUAUAAGGGCCACAUAUGCCCAGAACAGCAACCGGUUUUGUAAUAUGAUUUAAAAAUUUCACAGCUUCCUUGUCCACAACAAUUGAUUUGCUUUCUUGAUCGUGUCUGACAAGUGGUAUAGAUGGAGGAAGUUUUACUUCUCCCAAUUUUCGUUUUUUAGGAUCUACAUGUGACACAAGAAAAAUAACAAUCAUGAUACACACGCAGGUUUGAGCUCGAUCACAUCUGAUUAAUGUGUAGCUAUAUAUAAUCAUAAUGCUUACAAUUCUUAGACUAUAGUCUUAUAUAUAUUAUUGUGAUUAUAUAAACCUUUUUGCGUUUUCUCUCGAGUUAUAAGAUCAUUUCCCUCUUGGUGUGUGCGGUUAAUGUCUGCUUGUGCACCUCCUGUACAAUUCAAUCAGUGUUUCAAAGAAAUAAAGGCAUAUUUCACAUUGUUUUUACAUAAUUUAGCUAUUGCUCUGCACUAUUAGUACAACCAGUAGGUUGUACAUAUAGGAUUGACAGUGCAGUUGUGUGUGUUUUCAAUUAUUGCACAAAUUUUGACUCGUGUUUAGACUGCUCUAUUUCUGCAGGGAAAGGCCACAGCAAGAAACUGAGUUGACAGAUAGCUUAGUUAGCCUUUUAUCUGUCUAAAUGUGUGAAAUUAUAGUCAAUGAAUAUUCUCAUGCAUUACUAUUGAUAUUUGAAAAAUUGCACUAUUUUCAUAUUUCACCGCGUUUCGUCUGACUGACUAAGUAAGUUAGUAAGUAAGUAACUUUCUUGGAAAGCAUUUCCUCCUUGUACAGACAUGUUCAGAAGAUUCUAGAUACAGCCUCUAGUCGACUAGAACCCGGACCAUGGGCGUUUUUCGCAGAAUUGCGUCCGCUUCCAAGAGGCAGAUGACCUCUCAGGCUCCACUUUUCUUACCUACGCAAUUCCGCCAUCUUUAAAUGACUGCCACAGCAACGCACAUGGCAACUUAUGAGAUGGGCGUGGCUGGUUAACCGGCUGUGACAUCGAUCGGUACACAAACAGUCCCUAGUCUUUUCAGUGGCGGAUCCAGAGGGGGUUCUUUGGGUUCAAUUGAACCCCCCUUUGAGAAAGAAGUGAGUGGGAGGCUCAAGCAACUAGUUAGCAAGUUGUUCCUUUCUUACUAGCUUUCACAUGCACUUCUCACUUACCUUUAGUCCUUGUUAGUCCUGUGAAGCUUUGUCUGUGCAGUUUCAGUGACUAUGAAGGCUAAAAACUCUCCAGCGAGUGCAUGCAGACUGCUUCAUGAAAAGUGAUGACCUUUUUUUAGAGGAAAAAAUUCGGUGUGUUAAUGCAUGCUCACUGUUUAGAAGAAGUGACGACCUUUUUUUUAACAGUCCUUGGCCCGCUCAGAGCCCUGGAACCCCCCUUUUUCAAGAAUCCUAGAUCCGCCACUGCCUUUUCUCCAACUUCUCUCCAUUCUCAACUCAGGUAUGCUACUGGCUAGAUCUACCAUAGGCCUCCAUGCUUUUGCACUUGAAGUAUACACUCUAGUAUUUAACAUGCAUAGAUAAAUGAACACUGUAAUAAGAAUUAUGUGUUCAUAUAUUCCAGUCUGCAUGGCCUGUCUUCUCUUCUCUUCUUGAACUUCUCUUGCUUCUUGACAUUCCUCUUAGGCAUUUCACAUUUCAUUAUUGAAGAGUAUAAAAAUACUGCUGUACUGAAAAAGAAAGGGAAUCAAACUAAAAAAACAUUUGCAAUGUGAACGUUGCUAGGAUUGCCAGGAAAAGAAAAGCGCGAAAAAGCGAAGAAACAAGAAAUUCGGUGAGUGCAUAACUCCAAUCCGUUACAACGCCAUGAACAUGUACAGCCGAGUGGCCUACUGAUUUUAGAAUUAGAAUUAAAAUACAAGUUGGGUAAAAAUGAACCGCGAAUAACUGAAUUCACAAUCAUCCACCCACACAUCCAACACUUGCAUGUUUGCUCAAUACUGUAAGGGAAAUCAUCACAAACACAUUAUAUAGCUUGCAAAAAAUUCACUAUAAUUAUAUGAUAAAAAUUACUGAAGAAUUGGCCAGGAAAAGCACAAAACGAACAAAAAAUUGAAACAGUACAUGUGAAUGAAGUUGUAACGGAUUGGAGUUAUGCACUCGCCGAAUUUCUUGUUUCUUCGCUUUUUCGCACUUUUCUUUUCCUGGCAAUCCUAGCAACGUUCACAUUGCAAAUGUUUUUUUAGUUUGAUAAGUAUAGGAUAUACCACACCUAAGAGCCGCCUCGAAGUAACCACGGUAGCGGAGGAUAUAUGGGUGCAUAACCUCCGAGUAGGUGUGGCAUAUCUGAUUUAUACCACGUGACCGCAGCACUAUAAAAGGACCUCCCCCUAGCAACAAUUCAAUCCACGAUGCAGACUGCAAAAAAAACAAGACUAUGCCGGAUUUUGCAGCCGUCAAAGAGCUAGUUGAGCAACAUGUUGACUCCUACAGAUGCAUGCUCAAGAGCUUCCUUGGUCCAAGCAUUGACCAUUCGACGUCCCCUACUGGAGUUGCAAGCUCUUCUUGGAUAAAAUGUAUCUAAACCGCGCCCAUGGACCCAUGGAAGCUUAGCCAUCUUGUUGGAGAGCACCUUCCGUGUUUCUGCCGUCGCUUUGAGUCUUAGUACUGUCAAGCAUCGCUCUUUUCUCUUUGCUUGAACAAAUGAAAAAACUAAAAAACAACUUGAAAAACUGCGCAUGCCUGGGGCUGUAUGCUAAUAUUCUAUAUAUCCUACAGCUGUUAACCAUUGAGAUCAAUUAGUGGUGACGUAAGUGUGGUAUAUUAUCCGGAGACCUCAUGAAAUUACGUAAUUAUAAAUCACUAAAGUGUUGGAGAAAUCAAGUGCUCCAAAUAAAAGUUCAAGUCAAGAACAAGUUACUGCUACACCGCAGGUUACUUAUAGGGCUCAAGAAAUGGACUUCACUCUGCAUGAAGUGACAGAUUUUAUCCGAUAUUAUUAUACUUCUUACAUCCGGGGCCUAGCUUGCUUAGAACUUCCUUAACCAUGUUUGCAAUAUGUUUUAGGAUCUCACGAGCAAUAUAUUCAAACAUGCAUGUGCAUCUUGAUCUAUAUAUAACUACUGCCAACCUUGAUUUACAGCCACAACUUCAUAGCCAUCCAAUAAAGACUCUGUGGUGGGCUUGGAUGCCAUAGUUCUGAUUCACGUCAGUUAAUGAAGUUUUGAUGCACAGCAGCUAUAAUUUAAUGCAACUGGACAGUAUAUACUCGAUCACUCUCUUUACAUAGAUUCCAAGGUGAUGUGUUUGUACUAUACUCCAAAUGCUAACUAAAAUGCAUACAGGGCACGUGCAUACCCUAAACAAUGCAAGCUGGGACAUGCAUGCUGCGACUACAAUUGCCAGUGAAAAACCUUUGUGAAUGAGCCAAAUAAGCAGUACCUACAUACAGCUGUUGUGUACUCCAAAUGCCAAUUUUAGCUUCACAUUUGUAGUUUUUAGACAAUCCUUAUUGUUCUGAACUAUAAUAUGCAUGCAUGCAGUUGGGCACAUGCUGCGAUCGAGAGACAGCCUGCAUCAUGUACCUAUAUAUAUAUACAGCUGUUUUGUAUACUCAAAAUACAAAUUUUUGCUUCACUUGUACCAUGCAUGAUGUGCUCUAGAUCUGAUACUAAUAUACCAUACCAUACACCAUUAUAUACGGUAUAUGCAUGACUGUGGUCAGCCUGAAGUCCACCCUAUACACUCUUUAAGGACCUAAAGUAACUAAAAUUGUCGAAAGCAAUAUGUCACAUUACGUAACCGGAAGACAUCCAAGAGUGUUGAAGUUGUAAAUGGUUUGUCAAGUGCCAAGCAUGCACACGCACACAAUGUACACCGAUCAAACAGUGUUGACUAUAUACUACUCAGUUGUACAGUAUAGAUUGCAGUGCAAUUGCAACAGAGAAUUACCAAACAGAUAAUUCUGAUUAUUUUCUUAGCUAAACUUUCACCAACUACUCUAACUUGGCACUUUAUAAGGUAAAAAGCAUAGGGCCAUGAGAAUCAUUUUCUCAGCAGAUACUCACUGAAGCUCUCUGCAUGCCCCCUUCAAAAUUAUUUACAUGACAUGCAUACAGUCAGUCAAGCAUUGACAAGCACACUGUAAAAAGAGAUGUGCCAUUAUAGCACGCGUGUAGCGUGUUACACAUGUGCCAAACUGCUUAAAGUGUGUUAUUUACCCUCUAGAAAAGUUUAUCACAGCUAAAAAUAUGUCGUUUUAACCCACUGAAUGAAAACAACCCAUUACACAUGUGUCGUUUCUUAUGCACAUUACAUAUAAACAUGAUUGUUACAAGUGAUAACACAAUCACUUGUAAAAAUCAUACUUCAUAUGUCCCUGGCAACAAAUGUGACAUAGCAACGAGUGAGACUGUUUAAAUGGUAGCUAGCGCUUGCUAGUUAGUUCAACCAAGUAUAGUACAGUACAGUCGAGACAACUGUUCACUUCAAAGAAUUGAACUGCUGGAACCACCCUCAACUCUGAAACUACCCAGUUUUUCAGUGAAUUGAUAGACUCUACUUGUUUUUUUGGCUUAUGAGUCAGUAAUUCUCCUUUCUCAACAAUGGCAGACUCCUUCGAUUGUGAUAGUGUAUGAAACAGAGGGGCUCAAAGGUAGGCCUUCCUAACCACCCUCCAAGUGAGCUAGCUGUCUGAAUCUUAAUACUAGUCCCUGUCAGGGCACACAUUUGAGGUAGGCCAUCCUAACCACCCUCCAAGUGAGCUAGCUGUCUGAAUCUUAAUACUGGUCCCUGUCAGGGCACAAAUUUGAGUACCAAAUAAGGGCAUGCAGUACAACAGAUGUGCAGCUGCAGCUGCAUAGCAACAAAGAUUUUUUUUUUGCUGUUCUUGCAAAGAAGAAAAGAAGUUGAGUUUAGACAUGGUUUGAGAGCUGUUUGAAAAAACUGUGGAACUAGGAAGGACAAGCAAGUAAAAGGUUGAAUGGGGGCUCAACAAAGUGGAGACCAAUUGAAGCCUAGCUAUAUUGCCCAAGUUUAAUAGCACAAUAAGUGAUGCUGAGAAGUCAAAGGCAGUAUCUUGCAAUUGCAGUGAUCUGAGUGCAGACUUGCUAUGUAGGCCUUCCUAACCACUCCAAGUGAACUAGCUGUCUGAAUCUUAAUACCGGUCCGAAAUAGCUAUGAAGACAAGUUCAAAGGACUGUAGUAAAGACUCAUAAUUAACUGGAUACAUGCAUGCAAGUUUUGCAAACACUUCUGAAUACUUUUGUUUCAUUUUCAGUUACUAUAAUUAUGCUAUAGCGCUAUAUAGACUCGUCAUUAUUUUUGUUAUUGUUUAUUGUUUUAUGA